RNAcentral lists this ribosomal RNA (506 nucleotides) under uncultured bacterium. RNAcentral's name for it is "partial 16S ribosomal RNA". It matches the Rfam family "Bacterial small subunit ribosomal RNA", at positions 28 to 523 of the family's 1533-position model. The record is from RNAcentral.
GAUGAACGCCAGCUACAGGCUUAACACAUGCAAGUCGAGGGGUAACGAGAGGAAAGCUUGCUUUCCUUGUCGACGACCGGCGCACGGGUGAGUAACGCGUAUCCAACCUGCCCCCAACUAGGGAAUAACCUUGCGAAAGUAAGACUAAUACCCUAUAAUUUCCUCAGAUGUCAUCUGACGAGGAAUAAAGAUUUAUCGGUUGUGGAUGGGGAUGCGUCUGAUUAGCUUGUUGGCGGGGUAACGGCCCACCAAGGCAACGAUCAGUAGGGGUUCUGGGAGGAAGGUCCCCCACAUUGGAACUGAGACACGGUCCAAACUCCUACGGGAGGCAGCAGUGAGGAAUAUUGGUCAAUGGGCGAAAGCCUGAACCAGCCAAGUAGCGUGCAGGAUGACGGCCCUAUGGGUUGUAAACUGCUUUUAUACAGGAAUAAAGUUAGCCACGUGUGGUUAUUUGUAGGUACUGUAUGAAUAAGGACCGGCUAAUUCCGUGCCAGCCGCCGCCGUAA